GCGCCCUUAGCUCAAUGGAUAGAGUGCCUGGCUUCGAACCAGUAGGUUGGGGGUUCGAAUCCCUCAGGGCGCACCA
RNAcentral lists this transfer RNA (76 nucleotides) under Candidatus Moraniibacteriota bacterium. Its description in RNAcentral is "tRNA-Arg". It matches the Rfam family "tRNA". Rfam says of the family: Transfer RNA (tRNA) molecules are approximately 80 nucleotides in length. Their secondary structure includes four short double-helical elements and three loops (D, anti-codon, and T loops). The record is from RNAcentral. Lineage: Bacteria; Candidatus Moraniibacteriota.